UUAUUGUUUGCAUAGUGAAGUUUAAAGUUAUUGUUAAUGUAUGGGAUAGAAUAGGAGAGCUAUUAGAGACGGCUUUAUACCCUACAUUUCUACUAUAGGGAAACAAGCCGAAAAAACGUGUUAUAAGUUGCAGAGGAUAAACAUAGACUACUGAUACACAAAAUCAAUUUACACCCCCGGAUCACUCUAUGAAUUUAGGAUAGACUUAUAUCUAAACACAGGUUUAGCGCAUAUUCAACCUAUACACAAGCUCCAUUGAUCAGGAAACGAGUUUUAUCACCUUGUAUGGCAGUAAGAUUCAAUUGUCCCUUAUUGAGAGUCGGUCGACAAAAGUCAUUGCGAUCAUUAGUUGCAUUGUAGAAAGAAUUAUGAUACUUGCAAUAAGCUUUUCUCUUGAACUUAUCAGUCAAAACCAACUUAUAUGUUUCUCAGACCAUUCGCUUAAGAGACUUUUAUUUAGCUAAGGACAUGUUCUUCAUCUGGCUUGCUCCAAACAAGUCCUAACGGAUAGGGGGGAUCCUUGAAUCCCACCCAAACACAAACAACUCCAACAUAGGGGUUCUCAAGGAUUUAAAAAUCCAACGAAGCACGGAUCAUGAGCCCUAUACCGGCCACCAAUGGCGGAAGCGUGUCAUCCAAUCGAAACCGAGCACAUUCUGUGCAAGUAUUGGUUCAGACGAAGAGGCCGCCAUUAUCAGAUGCAAUGCGUCUCCGCCAGCUACGAAGAAGGUGUCGCCAAGCAAACAACACGUCGGGAGGGAGGGCAAGACGCACUGUACUUCGUCCGCUUUUAGCUGCCGCCAAAACCCAAUUCCAGUGAAGAAGAAAUCUAGUAAAAAAGAAGAACAGACAGGGGUGGGGGAAGAAGAAAACGAAGAAGAUCAUUCCAGAACUGACACCGCUGAUUUUUCUUCUCUAUUGGCGGAGAAAGAGCUACUCGAACCGACGAGUCAGCGAUCAGGGGGGGAUGGAGUGGAAAAGGCGAUGGCGGGGCGGGCGUGUCCCCGCGGCGUCGCGGCCGUGGGAGGCACGGCGGCGGCAGCGUAACGUGCUCGAGCGCCCAGGGCCCCACGGUACACACCCUGUCCUGUCGUUGUCGU
RNAcentral lists this long non-coding RNA (1100 nucleotides) under Zea mays. RNAcentral describes it as "long non-coding RNA (ZMAY_LNC002863)". The record is from RNAcentral. Lineage: Eukaryota; Viridiplantae; Streptophyta; Magnoliopsida; Poales; Poaceae.